Molecule: ribosomal RNA, 467 nt
Filed under: uncultured bacterium
Lineage: Bacteria
Description: bacterial SSU rRNA
Rfam family: Bacterial small subunit ribosomal RNA
Source: RNAcentral
ACGAACGCUGGCGGCGUGCUUAACACAUGCAAGUCGAACGAGGUCCAGCCAAUCUUCGGAGAGGCGAAGACCUAGUGGCGAACGGGUGCGUAACACGUGAGAAACCUGCCCCAGACUUGGGAAUAACAGUCGGAAACGACUGCUAAUACCGAAUACCUUCGGAGCGUCGCAUGGCGCACCGAAGAAAGCUUUUGCGGUUUGGGAGGGUCUCGCGGCCUAUCAGCUAGUUGGUGAGGUAACGGCUCACCAAGGCAUCGACGGGUAGCUGGUCUGAGAGGAUGAUCAGCCACACUGGGACUGAGACACGGCCCAGACUCCUACGGGAGGCAGCAGUGGGGAAUCUUGCACAAUGGGCGAAAGCCUGAUGCAGCAACGCCGCGUGCGGGAAGAAGGCCUUAGGGUUGUAAACCGCUUUCAGCAGGGAAGAAAAUGACGGUACCUGCAGAAGAAGGUGCGGCCAACUACGU